RNAcentral lists this ribosomal RNA (466 nucleotides) under uncultured bacterium. Its description in RNAcentral is "partial 16S ribosomal RNA". It matches the Rfam family "Bacterial small subunit ribosomal RNA", at positions 29 to 506 of the family's 1533-position model. The record is from RNAcentral.
ACGCACGCUGGCGGCGUGCUUAACACCUGCAAGUCGAACGGAAAGGCCCUGCUUUUGUGGGGUGCUCGAGUGGCGAACGGGUGAGUAACACGUGAGUAACCUGCCCUUGACUUUGGGAUAACUUCAGGAAACUGGGGCUAAUACCGGAUAGGAGCUCCUGCUGCAUGGUGGGGGUUGGAAAGUUUCGGCGGUUGGGGAUGGACUCGCGGCUUAUCAGCUUGUUGGUGGGGUAGUGGCUUACCAAGGCUUUGACGGGUAGCCGGCCUGAGAGGGUGACCGGCCACAUUGGGACUGAGAUACGGCCCAGACUGCUACGGGAGGCAGCAGUGGGGAAUAUUGCACAAUGGGCGGAAGCCUGAUGCAGCAACGCCGCGUGCGGGAUGACGGCCUUCGGGUUGUAAACCGCUUUCGCCUGUGACGAAGCGUGAGGGACGGUAAUGGGUAAAGAAGCACCGGCUAACUACGU